AAAUGGGUAUAAAGAUAAAUUUAUAUUUUAAAUUGGGUUUGGGAGGAUAGUUUAGGUAGUAAAUUUGGGUUUAAAGAGAUACUAUUUUUUAAUUAAAAAUAAUAUGGGUGUAGAGAAUAAAUUAGGUGUAGAAAUAUAUUAUAUGGGUUCAAAUAAAAUUUUCCUAAUAUUAAUCGUAUAUCUAAAAUCAUGUGGGAUCAACUCUCUACAGAACUUUCCGAACCGAAUAAAAUUAGGCAUCAACUUAAAAUAGUGCGGAAUCAGUUCUGUCCAGAAUUCUCCGAACCAAAUAAUAUUUGUCAUUGACAUAAAAUCGUGUGGGAUCAGCCCUAUCCAGAACUCUCUAAACCUAAUAAUAUUAGUCACCGACGUAAAAUCGUGUGAGGUUAGUUUUGUCUAGAACUCUCUAAACCAAAUAAUAUUAGCUAUUGACCAAAUAAUAUUUGUCGUUGACGUAAAAUCGUGAGGGAUCAGUUCUCUCCAGAACUCUAUGAACCGAUUAAUCGUCGACCUAAAAUCAUGCGAGAUCAGUUCUAUCCAGAACUAUCUGAACCAAAUAAUAUUAGUUGUUGACACAAACUGAAGAACUUGCAAUUUGUCUUCAAGUAGAAAAAGGUAAGCAAAAUCCUCCAUUUCAUUAUUGUCAAUGUCUGUUGCUACCAUUUGUCUUCAAGUAGUACUUAUAUGAAGCUGUUAUGCGUUAUGAGCUCCUAAAGUCAAUCACCAACUAUAGCCUAAUGUAGAAACAAGAGCAUUAAUCUAAUGACCAUCAACUCAUAUUUAUCCAAUCUAGCUUUCGACAUUUAGAGGAAAACUUUUUGGAACAAUAUCUUUGCCGAUGCAAAUGUCCGCCGUCUCUAGCUUUGACAAAAAUGCACCUGCAAAACAAUCAACACCUUUGAUUAAGGACCUAAGCCUCACGAGCCCACGAGGUGGGGGAGAGGGUUAGGCCAAUGGGUCCAAUGCCUAAGUUAGUUUAUCUGAGAAGAGUAAAGUGUCUAGGGCUUCUAGGAGUAUCAAAAGCUUACCAAAAUUUGGUAGAAUAAGGGGUUUAUAUAGGGGAGUGGCUGGCCAUGGUGUUACAGUUUUACCCUACCCAUGGCGACAUCCUAUUGGCCAAGGUUUUAUAAAGAAAUAUUCUCAAGAUAUUAAAUAGGAAAUAAUAUCUUGAGAUAAUGGAGUAAUUAUGACACACCCCGACCUGGAAAGGUUGAAGCAUGCUAGCCGUCACCGUGAGGUGACAUAACCAUAAGGGUAAGUGAUGCAAAAAGUGAAUAAAAUUUAAAACUAAUUAGAACUAAACAGUGAAAGAGUGCGCAAUUCGUGGGUUGAACUCACUACAAUUAUUCAGAGUGUAAUAGACAGUGAGACUACGAAAGAGUAGUCAAGGCAACCAAAGUACACUUAUUACAUAGUAGUGAUAAGUUCGUAUGUCUAAACAGAAGGAAAUGUCAGAACUGCCGUGACUCCUCGAGUGCCACAGAGAGUACAGCUAUCUAGGUCCUAGAGGGGCGAAAAACAAAGUUGAGUGGGUCAGCAAAACAAUGCUUAUAAGAAAACCUUUAUCUUUGAAUAUACUAACCCCUCGCCGUAAAACAAGUAUAGUUUCCUCAAAACAUACUACGUAAGUAUGAAAUCCAAUAUAUCAGCCAUAUAGCCAGAAAUAUGCCAAGUAAAUGAUGUAUCAUAUGCCAUAAUAAUAAUCAUGCGAUAAUCAAUAUAACUAAGUGCUCAUCCAUCUAAGCUGACACACAAGUUCGAACAGAUGGUUUCUGACACGAACAGGACUGGGUGUAAUCAAUAUGCUCUAGUACUACGAUCACGUGAAAACUGGUGCAAAAGCACAUCACAUACAAGUCGGAUCAUCUAAUGCAAUCUACCCGACAAGACUGACACCUAAACUUGGAUCCAAUGUGAGCGAACGGUGCAGAUGUGAACAUACACGUGAAGGACUAGCCCUGGCCCUGGGGCGAGUACUAACACCGGGUGCAGCAAGAUGAGCAUGUACACAACUACAUAUGAAUGCCAUGAUAGUAAUAUCACAACCAUAUAGCAGCAUUUAUCACAAUUUAUAUCACAAUAAUGAUACUAGGCAAGAUAAGCGUAAAAGUGAAAUAAAUACACAUUUAUGGAAACUAUAAAAUAUAUAUAGGUAUAAAACAACUGCCCACUCACAAGUACGUCGCUGGGUCGUAGCCCCCAAGCCUAGCUUGGCCUCGAAAAUCCUCGGAAUAAGUUUCCUCUAUAUGUGAAAUACCUAAAUAACAUUAAUUAAAGCACAUAACGGAAACCUAAAUAAAAUCCCCAUAAUUUGCUCAAACCUAGGGUAUAAAUAUAUGAAAUCGAUCUACUCAAUGACACGAACGCACACGCAUCAACCACACGCCAGCCGAAGGCCAGACGCGCCCCACACGCCACCCAAAGUGGCAGUCCACGCGCGCCCCCGCGAGUACACUGUACUCGCCUUCUUCGCGAAAAUCUGCAAUUUUGCAGAUUUUUGGCCCAACUUCCAGAGCCCAUAACGAGUUCGAUUCUCAACCAAAUUCACUUAUACAAAAGCCAAAUUAAAGCUAGGAAUGUGAUCUACCGAUCCCAAUUCACAGAAAGUUCUAAUAUAGGCCGUGUUGUUCAGAAAUUUGGCCUGAAAGUGGCCAAACGACCAAGUUGAAAUUUUCCAGAAAACUAAAAUUUUCUUCCCAACUUCCAGAGUUGAUUUCUAACUCGUUACUGAACCAAACUCAGUGAUUCAAAAGCCAUUUUGAAGUUAGGAAUGUAGAGAACAAGUUUGUACUAAGAAGAAGUCUAGUUGUGGUCGACGUUGACCAGAAAAAUGGUUUGAAAGUGACUAAAUGGCCACGGUUCUUGUAUGAAAAAUUUCGGGUUCUCCUUCUUCUCGAGUUUCUGGGUAAAACCACACAUUCAAAACACAAACAAAUUAUCAAUAACAACCCAUAUAAGUGAAAUGAAAGUUCUAAGGGUUUCUUAAGGCUUACCUUAGCCAUGCAUGGCUUGAAAAUCGAUAUGUCGAACUCGCCGAGUUGACCUUCCGAGUUGGUGAGUCAAAACUCGUCCACACCAGAUUUCAAGGACAUGGUUGUGAUCGUGGGACUGAGGAUGAGCAUAAUGAUGUAGUUGGUUUGUCACGUUUGGGAGUUUUGGUGUGUUUUGUGGUUGUUGCAGAGAGGAAGAAGAAGAAGAAAUGUGGCGUGGGAGAGGGAGAAGAGAGAGAGAGAUGCUUUUCUGAUUGAGGGGGGGACAAAACAUACAAAAAAAAAUGGGAUAGCUGAGAUUGAAUGAUGAAGGGAAGUGCACGGGUAGGAUUUAAAAGGAAUCCAAGGAUAGCUUUUUAGAUUUCCUACAAUAAAAGGAAAUCAAAAUCUAUCCGAAGUAGAUAUUUUACACUUUAAAAUUUACGCAUACUUGUACUAGCGUGUACAAUUUAAAUGCAAUAGCGAGAAAUAAAAAGGAAAACGAUAAGAAUAAGUCCACGUCACUUGCCAAUAAGGGCAUAAUCGUCAAUACACAUACUCGGGGAGAAAUUACAUAGGAAAAUUAGGGACGGGUCGUCACAAAUUAUCCCUAAUUGAUUUAAAUAAGGAUUACUUAUUACUUACUUGAAUGGAGUCAAUCUUCAAUUGGGAAUGUAUUAAAGAUAGGACUUGGGUAAUUAAUCAUUUUUUAAUGCUUUGACUUUUCCUUGCCAAUGGAAGGUGAGCUAUGGGUAGUCGUAUUUAGCUGUUGGGACCUUCAGGGGUGUGAGCUGCUCAUGAGAGUAUCUGAGGAGCCUGUCCAUUUAAUGAGGCCAAUCUUGUCUUUCUUGAGCAAAAGUCCACAUGUAGCCUUUAGAAUUUUUGGGAUUAUUUUAGGCUCCAGAAAUACCCCCACACCUGCUGGGCUGUAAGUAGAAAAAAGGGCUUCUUCCUUGAUUUGGAGAUAGACUUCUUCUGGGAAAAGGAAACCAAUUGCCCCCAAUACCUAUUUAAUUCUGCUCUAAGCAGGGGAUUAAAUAAAUUUGGAGAACAAUCAUCAUUCUAACAAGGAAGAGAAAAGCCAGAGGAAAUUUGUUUCCCCUCCCCUAGCUUUCUUCUUCUCUUGCCCUUGCAAAGAGUCGUCUCUCGUUGUUAUUCUUCUUCUCCGUGCCACACCACGGUAAGAAAAAGUUGAAUUUUCUUAUUCUUAAUUUUUUGGAACUUCGGGGCUUGAAAAAUUUUCUCGGCGAAGGCUGAGGAGGCAUGAGAAAUGUGGCAGGGGUGCCACGGGGCUGUUGUGCUGCAGUAUGUAGCGUGGGCUACUGGUGGUGCGGCACAAGAAUCCACUUGGCUUAAGCCGAGGUGUUAGAAGCACAAGCAAGGCUCAGCGCGCGGCUGGCGUGGGCCAGGUGAUGGCUCGACACUAGUUGAAGGAGGGGCGCAUAGCUGGGCUCGGGCUCACUAGAGCUUGGAAGAGAGGGAAAGAGGCAUGGGGCGCUCGCCCUCCUCGCUAGUGGACUGGGCCAAGAGGUCCUUGGGUCGCUAGGCGCGAGAGAAAGAGCUAGGGUCCAGGUCGUGAGGCUUGUCGUGCUGCUGGGCUCCUGCGGUUUGGGCCUGUGCUAGAGGAGAGAUAGAGAGUGAGGAUUGGGCCCUCUUGUGGCUUGGCCAUGUGGAUGAGCUGGGUCAUGGGGCUUGGCACUGGGCUCUGCAGUUCUCUCUUUUUUAUUUUUUAUUUUUUAUUUUUAUUUUUUUGUUUCUCUUCUCGCGAACUGCCUUCUAAAUAUUUUUCUUCGUACUUUUUGCAAGGAUUUUGAGAUGUCUUCCUCUGAUUGCAAAAGUGACGAAUACCCUCUAUUUUUAUACCGUCAAGGUGGUUCUUCUGGUAAGGUGGGCUGCUUCAAGGCUGCACAUGUCAAGAUCAAUUUUGAUGGGCGAUUUUGGGAUUUUCUUAAGAUGUAAAAGCAUGCAAUUUCGUCAGGGGUUCGUGUCAAGCGGGGUAAGGAUGAUAGCGGCCAUGAACUGUGUGGCGAGGGUGCCACUGCUAGGAGGAGGGCUAUCAAAUUCCAUCUGUAUUACUUCAUGCUGGGAUUUACUUGAAGGAAAUAUUUGUGAAAACUAGUUCAUUUGAGCAACAUUUAUGCAUGCAAUUAACAAUUAAAAGGCGGAAUCAUGCUUGUAUGCACUCAAAAACAAAACUUUACCCAUAAAAUUCAAGGCCUAGUGAGUGUGGUGAAUCAAGACUCAACUCAAGAACAAAGUGAGUUGAGAAAUAUUAUACCUUUGUUGAUUCCUCUUUGCAUAAGCAAAGGCUAAUCACCCAAGAGAUAGGGUCUUCAUUCCUUACUUCUUAGCUCCAUGGAUUUCUUAGAUAAGGAUGGUAGAAUGGAUUCUCCAAGUUCCCAAAAUAGAGAACCUCUAAGUCUCCACACCAAAAAGUGCAUUGAUGAAGAGAUAAGUGACCUAGAGGAAGUAAGAUUGCUAGCUAAUUUUCUCUAAGGUGGCUGGCCUCUUAGAGAGAAAAAAGAGCUUUGUGUUCUUAUAUUUUCUCCAAAAGAAAACCCCAAGGAUGAAAUGGCUAUAAAGUUGCCUUUAUAUCACCUCACAAUGGAGUGGCAAACUUGCAAUUAAGGCAAGUUCACUACCCAUCUCUAUAUGGCCAGCCAUUGUAGGUUAUUUGGGCUUUGAAGCCCUUUGUGUUUUCAAGUUGUCAUACAACUUGAGUUAUUGGACUUUGACAUUCAAAUCCCAUGGGCCUUGAGGCCCAAAACUAACUAGAGGUCUAUAACGAACUUAUUCAUUUGAUUAAUUAACAUAUAAUUAAUCCUAACCAUAAAUAAUUAAACCAUUUAAUUAUCCUUACUCAUCUCUAUUGUUUCUUCAAUCUCUACCUUACACGAUGUACGAUCCAUUAGGUUCCUUUUAGCGAGGCAGUGGACGAUUAGAACUCUUCAAAUCGAUUAUGAAUUGAAACAUACUUUCAAUUCUCCCUUUAGUUAUUAUACACCUUUAGGGUUUCCACAAACCAUGAGUGACACCUAGCAGUAUAUCAUGGUUACCCAAGCUAAUCAGAAAAGGUGGAGAACCUAUUCAGUUUAGGAUUACAAUGCAAUACGGUCUUUCUCUAAUACAAUACUCUUGACCACAUUGUUUGGUUUGAUAGUUUAUUCAUGUCUACUAUCAAAUGUGAUUCAUUUAUUUAUAUGAUUAUCUUGAAUGUGAUUUGGAACAACUUCCUAAAUCUCAUUCAUACUCUGGCCAAAGAUUCUUAAUCAUAUCACAAAGUAUUCUCCCUCAAACGGUUUGAAGGUUAGAGAUCCCUUGUUGCACAUUCACUUGCCUCCAUGGCUAAGUGGCUUAACCCUAACUAUGCCGUGGACACCCUCUGAUGAAGUGACUUUGACAUACUCAAAGAUUAAUGACCUAACCACAAGACAACUAUGAUGCCUCAGGUCAAAAGAUUACCUUGCAUUAUCUCAACCAUGAGUUCUCAUGUGACAUGAGUAUAAGAACUCCUUGUUGAUCGUGUUCAGUGGACUCAUUCAUGCUUGUCUUGGUGUCAGUCACACCAAUGACUCGAGACCAGUCACUCUCCCUAAGAAAAGACAUAGCAGGUACUGAUCUUAAUGGACUGUCAAUGCCCAAUUAGCAAUCAUACGAUCAAUAACGUUUAUGAUAUGUAUACGAAAGAGAAUGGUAUCAUGAAUCUGACUUAUUUAGAUCACAUUCUUCCAAUUACAUAUUCCUUGGACUUAUCGUUUAAGCAUAUAACAUUUUUAUGAGACGGCUUUAAACAAUCAUUUUUGCCCUUCAUAUUAAACUAGAUUAGUUUAACAUAUGAAAUGUUCGUAAAGUAUCAUCAUAUGAUUGGCUUUAGGGCACAUCUCCAACAUUACUUUUCCCAUGCCGUGUAUUUUUCAAGAAGUGAUCUGCCCCAUGAAAUGCGCGUCAGCUCAGUGCUCCCUGAAUGCAGUUCGUACGAUGGUAGGGUUCUCGAACUAGUCUGACUCCUUUCAUGAGCUACGUGUUUUGACUGUCUUUAUCAGUAGUAAGUGAACUGCUUCAUUCCUGGCCUGCUUGAAUUUUUGUUGAGCUGCUUCAUAACUUUAGUUUAUUGAUAGACCUUCUUACUUUGUGUAGAUUUGGAAUUUAAGAAUUUGGCUCAACUCCAACAACUUUGGCGGAUAUGAAGAAAAUGCACAUCGUUUUGGCCAUUCCUACCGAGUACUGUGAGUAGCGCUGACUGCUCAGUCUUCUUCGUCGGGAGAAAGGUGGCUUGCCUCCGAAGGAAUAGAUAAAGCGGAUAUAAGAUGAGGUACUUGCUCGCUCGAUCACCUCUGUAGAGCCUGUUGCCAAUGAGGGUGGAAAUAAGAGACCUUCAUCACCUACUCGUGAACUUUCAGCUGAGAAGAAGCUAAUGACUUCUU
RNAcentral lists this long non-coding RNA (7393 nucleotides) under Malus domestica (apple). RNAcentral describes it as "long non-coding RNA (MDOM_LNC013968)". Lineage: Eukaryota; Viridiplantae; Streptophyta; Magnoliopsida; Rosales; Rosaceae. The record is from RNAcentral.